Molecule: ribosomal RNA, 618 nt
Filed under: Aspergillus sp. T2 SA-2014
Lineage: Eukaryota; Fungi; Ascomycota; Eurotiomycetes; Eurotiales; Aspergillaceae
Description: eukaryotic LSU rRNA
Rfam family: 5.8S ribosomal RNA (bases 224-377)
Source: RNAcentral
GGGCUUAUCUCGUAGGUGACCUGCGGAGGAUCAUUACCGAGUGCGGGUCUUUAUGGCCCAACCUCCCACCCGUGACUAUUGUACCUUGUUGCUUCGGCGGGCCCGCCAGCGUUGCUGGCCGCCGGGGGGCGACUCGCCCCCGGGCCCGUGCCCGCCGGAGACCCCAACAUGAACCCUGUUCUGAAAGCUUGCAGUCUGAGUGUGAUUCUUUGCAAUCAGUUAAAACUUUCAACAAUGGAUCUCUUGGUUCCGGCAUCGAUGAAGAACGCAGCGAAAUGCGAUAACUAAUGUGAAUUGCAGAAUUCAGUGAAUCAUCGAGUCUUUGAACGCACAUUGCGCCCCCUGGUAUUCCGGGGGGCAUGCCUGUCCGAGCGUCAUUGCUGCCCUCAAGCCCGGCUUGUGUGUUGGGCCCUCGUCCCCCGGCUCCCGGGGGACGGGCCCGAAGGCAGCGGCGGCACCGCGUCCGGUCCUCGAGCGUAUGGGGCUUCGUCUUCCGCUCCGUAGGCCCGGCCGGCGCCCGCCGACGCAUUUAUUUGCAACUUGUUUUUUUCCAGGUUGACCUCGGAUCAGGUAGGGAUACCCGCUGAACUUAAGCAUAUCAUAAGGCGGGGAAGGGAA